Molecule: ribosomal RNA, 292 nt
Filed under: uncultured bacterium
Lineage: Bacteria
Description: partial 16S ribosomal RNA
Rfam family: Bacterial small subunit ribosomal RNA
Source: RNAcentral
GUGCCAGCAGCCGCGGUAAUACGGAGGGUGCAAGCGUUAUCCGGAUUCACUGGGUUUAAAGGGUGCGUAGGCGGGUUGGUAAGUCCGUGGUGAAAUCCCCAAGCUUAACUUGGGAACUGCCGUGGAUACUAUCAAUCUUGAAUAUCGUGGAGGUAAGCGGAAUAUGUCAUGUAGCGGUGAAAUGCUUAGAUAUGACAUAGAACACCAAUUGCGUAGGCAGCUUACUACACGAUCAUUGACGCUGAGGCACGAAAGCGUGGGGAGCAAACAGGAUUAGAAACCCCCGUAGUCC